CAGCCCUUGACAUGUCCUCUAUGGAUUCCAGAGCGGAGUCCUUCACUUCGGGUGGGAGGAACACAGGUGCUGCAUGGCUGUCGUCAGCUCGUGUCGUGAGAUGUUGGGUUAAGUCCCGCAACGAGCGCAACCCUCGCCNUUAGUUGCCAUCAUUUAGUUGGGCACUCUAAGGGGACUGCCGGUGAUAAGCCGGAGGAAGGUGGGGAUGACGUCAAGUCCUCAUGGCCCUUACGGGCUGGGCUACACACGUGCUACAAUGGCGGUGACAGAGGGAUGCAAAGGGGCGACCCUUCGCAAAUCUCAAAAAUCCGUCUCAGUUCGGAUUGGGGUCUGCAACUCGACCCCAUGAAGUUGGAAUCGCUAGUAAUCGCAGAUCAGCACGCUGCGGUGAAUACGUUCCCGGGCCUUGUACACACCGCCCGUCACACCAUGGGAGUUGGCUUUACCUGAAGACGGUGCGCUAACCGCAAGGAGGCAGCCGGCCACGGUAGGGUCAGCGACUGGGGUG
This 508-nucleotide ribosomal RNA is filed under the name uncultured bacterium. RNAcentral describes it as "bacterial SSU rRNA". It matches the Rfam family "Bacterial small subunit ribosomal RNA", at positions 975 to 1482 of the family's 1533-position model. The record is from RNAcentral.